GCCCCAUUGCAUAGAUACUUGAAGUCAGCCUUCAGUUAUGUUUCAGCAAGUACAUAGCAUCUGAAUGAAACUCAGGAACUCAAUAUGAUUAAGUCAGAAACUCUUACUAAUUUUAAAGUCCACAACUGGACUUUUUGGAUUUUAUUAAAACUGAUCUGCUUCCCUAUUUCACCCCUGCAAUAGUACAGAGGGGCCAGAUCUAAUAUAAAAAGGCAUGAAACUCCAUUAUAUUUGGAUGUUGUAUUAAAUCCUAAUGCCCCUUCUUGUCAUUUUCCUUCAAAUAGGUCGAUUUCUCAGCUUGUCUGAAGCAUUGUAUACUUGAAUGCAAAAAAAGAUAUCAAGAAAACUGAAUGAUACUCUUCACCUGGACCAAACAGUAAUGUAUCACUGUUGAAAUGUUGGUUUUCUCAACCAAAUUAAAGUCUUCCCCAGAUGUAUCAAUCCAGCCUCCAGGAGUCCUCUCCCUUAGGAGUUUCUGGCAUUCAUUUGCAGAGAAACUCCGGAAGGUACCAGAAGGAACCAGUAAUGGAGACAGGAAUCAAGAGAGGACAACUCGCCCCGUUAAGAGCUGGGGCCUUGGGCGCUGGCCUGCCAGCUUCUCCCCUCCCGGGCUGGGGACCCCGGCCAGCGGCUCUCCCUCGCCGAGCCUCAGUUUCCUCAUCUGCUAAACAAUGACAACUACGCAGGGGAUUUCUGUACGGACCGAACGAGUGAGGAUAGAACGGGGCCCAGCACGAGGUAAACUUUUCCCCCCACUCCUUUCUGCAUCUUGAAUCACUUGAAUUCACCACCUCCCGUGAAAAUAAAGGGAAUAAAUUAAAGACCCGAGACGAUACCAUGAAGCUGCGUGCCGGGACCCAGCGCCAUCGAGCCCGCGGUGGCGGCCCUGGCGUUUGGCUGAGACGGGGCUCUGCCCGCUCUCCUCCCUCUCCCCCGCCGCUGCACGCGCUCACGUCCGAGCCCCAGUCCCGCCGGCUCGGGCCCCCCACCCCGUGCCCCCCUCCAGCCGCCCCCCGGCCCGGGCACUCACGGUACACGGUGAGGUUGGUGGCGCGGAUGAUCUGGGAGCCGCCGCAAGUGACGGCGCACAGGACCUGGCUGUCAUCGGCCACGUUGUGCAGCUGGAAGGCCACCCAGCCGUUGCUGCGGCCCCGCAGCUCCUUGGAGAGGGACGUCUCCAAGAAGAUCGGCCCGGGGCUGGGGCAGUCGGUGCUGCAGUUGACUAGCAGGGACCCGCCGGCUGGCAUCGUGUGGUCCUGGGGCUCCAGCCAUACCGAGAACUGCGCCCGGACGCCUGCGAGGCAGGGAAAGGCUCUGUCGGUGGCCCUUACGGCCUCAUCCCAGUGCCUGCUCGUUCUAGGAUACGGAGAGAGAACAGCAUGGGCCAAGGCCGGGGAUCCAGCGGUGCAGGAAGAGUCACGGGGCCGACGAAGGGAUGCAGGUUCCAAGCAGGGCCUGGCACGCGGGGAGCCCCUACCGAGGCUGCCAUCAAAUUUGGGUUCCAGGAAGGGUGUGCGGCGGCCCGUCCGGCGGCUGCGGGGGAGCUUGGCUUUCUCUGUUCCCUACCCCCCCGCCCGCACCCUAGCUCACCCCGCCUCACCUGGGGGCAGCAGGCAGCAGCAGGCCAGCAGCAGCGGGAGGCCGAGCAGGGCCCGGUGGGCCCCAGGCAGCGCCCCUGAGGGCACCAUGAUGGCCAGCCCGCGGGGAGGACAGUCGGUGGCACAGGAAGGUGGCGCAGGGGCCAGGGCGGGGCCGCCCAAGGGAGGGACGGAAGCACCGCGGUUAAGAUUACAGCAGCUCUGGGGCUGCGCCUCGGCCGGGCCGGGGAGGGGCCGCGGGGUGCCCCGUGGCCUCGGGCGGGCAGGGGGGACCCGGCGCGCAGGGGGACAGCCCCGGGGUCCCCGCGAGGCGGCGGGGCGCUGGCGAGGCUCCCGCAGGGCGCGUCUGCAGCCACGCUGCCCUUCCCCUAGUGGAGGCACCGGAAGCGCGCGCACAGCCGGCUUCCUUUGUUCUCGGGCGCGGGGACCCCGGGGAGGGAAGUUGGAGGGGAUGAUGAGACACCUCCUUCCUGCUGAACCUUGGGGGGACGGCGGGGGAGGGGGUGCCCCGACCCCAGAGGAAGUCAGCGGGGGGAAGCUUCGGGGCAGACGGCCUUGA
RNAcentral lists this long non-coding RNA (2157 nucleotides) under Dasypus novemcinctus (nine-banded armadillo). Its description in RNAcentral is "lncRNA (ENSDNOG00000052755.1)". The record is from RNAcentral. Lineage: Eukaryota; Metazoa; Chordata; Mammalia; Cingulata; Dasypodidae.